GGCGGAAAGCGUGGUCAGGAGUGGUCGUGUGUGUGCGCUCUGCAGAUUGCCUUUAGUAAGGUUAGUGAGCAGUGAGAACCAGCAGUGUCUACCACAGCAGUGAGAACCAGCAGUGUCUACCACAGCAGUGAGAACCAACAGUGUCUACCACAGCAGUGAGAACCAGCAGUGUCUACCACAGCAGUGAGAACCAGCAGUGUCUACCACAG
Molecule: non-coding RNA, 209 nt
Organism: Cherax quadricarinatus
Lineage: Eukaryota; Metazoa; Arthropoda; Malacostraca; Decapoda; Parastacidae
Source: RefSeq, a predicted model, not a curated record